Fundulus heteroclitus (mummichog) is the source of this 430-nucleotide long non-coding RNA. RefSeq lists it as uncharacterized. Lineage: Eukaryota; Metazoa; Chordata; Actinopteri; Cyprinodontiformes; Fundulidae. The transcript is spliced from 3 exons. The record is from RefSeq and is a predicted model, not a curated record.
CCUCAUCAUUGUGACAAAAACACUGAAAUCAAGAGUAAGUUGGAUGUUUCUCACCAGCCUAGACUUCAAGCUCUAACACAGCUGCCCCACGUUUAGAACACAGUGAUAGCUUCAUCAAUAAAUGCACUUCUGUUUGUAAACCCAUACAAUAUAGAUAAAUAUAAUACCUUUGCCUUGCAUUUCUUCUAUUUUAAUAGCAGCUAACAUGGUCAUUGGACACAGCAGUUUGCAUGGUUCAAAUCCAAGUUCUGGCAUCAGAGGUUGUUCUCCUUGAGGUUGAUCCUUUGUGUCUCCAGCCAAACGCCAACUGCUGAAGUCCGUGGGGAUGUGAGACUGAAGUGGAGAUGACGGCAAGAUAACUCCAUGUACCAGAAAAUACCUCCCUUAGAAGCAUAUUGAUUCAAAUCUUCACCCCAUCAGACCUUAAUGU